ACGAACGCUGGCGGCGUGCUUAACACAUGCAAGUCGCACGGAAAGGCCCUGCUUUUGUGGGGUGCUCGAGUGGCGAACGGGUGAGUAACACGUGAGUAACCUGCCCUUGACUUUGGGAUAACUUCAGGAAACUGGGGCUAAUACCGGAUAGGAGCUCCUGCUGCAUGGUGGGGGUUGGAAAGUUUCGGCGGUUGGGGAUGGACUCGCGGCUUAUCAGCUUGUUGGUGGGGUAGUGGCUUACCAAGGCUUUGACGGGUAGCCGGCCUGAGAGGGUGACCGGCCACAUUGGGACUGAGAUACGGCCCAGACUCCUACGGGAGGCAGCAGUGGGGAAUAUUGCACAAUGGGCGGAAGCCUGAUGCAGCAACGCCGCGUGCGGGAUGACGGCCGUCGGGUUGUAAACCGCUUUCGCCUGUGACGAAGCGUGAGUGACGGUAAUGGGUAAAGAAGCACCGGCUAACUACGUG
RNAcentral lists this ribosomal RNA (467 nucleotides) under uncultured bacterium. RNAcentral describes it as "partial 16S ribosomal RNA". It matches the Rfam family "Bacterial small subunit ribosomal RNA", at positions 29 to 507 of the family's 1533-position model. The record is from RNAcentral.